RNAcentral lists this ribosomal RNA (253 nucleotides) under uncultured bacterium. RNAcentral describes it as "partial 16S ribosomal RNA". It matches the Rfam family "Bacterial small subunit ribosomal RNA", at positions 524 to 776 of the family's 1533-position model. The record is from RNAcentral.
UACGAAGGGGGCUAGCGUUGCUCGGAAUGACUGGGCGUAAAGGGCGCGUAGGCGGACGGCUUUGUCGGGCGUGAAAUUCCAGGGCUUAACCUUGGGGGUGCGUUCGAGACGGGUUGUCUUGAGUGGGGAAGAGGGUCGUGGAAUUCCCAGUGUAGAGGUGAAAUUCGUAGAUAUUGGGAAGAACACCGGUGGCGAAGGCGGCUCACUGGCUCAUUACUGACGCUCAGGCGCGAUAGCGUGGGGAUCAAACAGG